GAUGAACGCUGACAGAAUGCUUAACACAUGCAAGUCCACUUGAAUUUGGGUUUUUAACUUAGGUUUGGGUGGCGGACGGGUGAGUAACGCGUAAAGAACUUGCCUCACAGCUAGGGACAACAUUUGGAAACGAAUGCUAAUACCUAAUAUUAUGAUAAUAGGGCAUCCUAUAAUUAUGAAAGCUAUAAGCGCUGUGAGAGAGCUUUGCGUCCCAUAAGCUAUUUGGGGAGGUAACGGAUAACAAAGCCGAUGAUGGGUAGCCGGCCUGAGAGGGUGAUCGGCCACAAGGGGACUGAGACACGGCCCUUACUCCUAAGGGAGGCAGCAGUGGGGAAUAUUGGACAAUGGACCAAGAGUCUGAUCCAGCAAUUCUGUGUGCACGAUGAAGUUUUUCGGAAUGUAAAGUGCUUUCAGUUGGGAAGAAAGAAAUGACGGUACCAACAGAAGAAGUGACGGCUAAAUACGUG
This 467-nucleotide ribosomal RNA is filed under the name uncultured bacterium. RNAcentral describes it as "partial 16S ribosomal RNA". It matches the Rfam family "Bacterial small subunit ribosomal RNA", at positions 28 to 507 of the family's 1533-position model. The record is from RNAcentral.